Eucalyptus grandis is the source of this 136-nucleotide non-coding RNA. Lineage: Eukaryota; Viridiplantae; Streptophyta; Magnoliopsida; Myrtales; Myrtaceae. The record is from Rfam.
AAUUGGCUUAGUUAGGAGGCAAACAUGAACCUGGAGGACCAGAGGAUCUCUGGUCUUCCUUUGGCUAAGGCCUCUUGAGGGGACUCUCUUGCUGCUAAACCCAGAUCGAUUGUCCUCCAAGCAGCCUCGGACAUUC